GUGUGUGUGUGUGUGUGUGUAAGGCAACAAAGCCUGGAGUAGUUUCUCCUUUCCAUUAAUGGGUCUUCCCCAUUUCAUAAAGAAAAUCAAAAGAAGUAUAAAUUGAAUACAAUAGGUGAUCUUGCCUUCUGCAUAUUUUGGGAUUUUCUAUUACUCUAUAUCUGAUUUUGGUGAUACUUAUUACUGUCUGUUGCUGAUUUGUUUGCCAUGACUACUGAAAGUGUCCAUAAUUCUAGCCCUGCAAUCUUUUUUUUUUCCCUCCUGUCUUUUCCAUGAA
This 277-nucleotide unclassified non-coding RNA is filed under the name Hevea brasiliensis (rubber tree). Lineage: Eukaryota; Viridiplantae; Streptophyta; Magnoliopsida; Malpighiales; Euphorbiaceae. The record is from RNAcentral.